UGGGCAACCUGACCCCAAGAACACUAGGGAAUAACUCCGGGGAAACCGGGGCUAAUACCGGAUACUCCGGCUGGAUCGCAUGGUCCGGCCGGGAAAGGUCCGCCGGAGAGGGAUGGGCCCGCGGCCUAUCAGCUUGUUGGUGGGGUCAUGGCUCACCAAGGCGACGACGGGUAGCUGGUCUGAGAGGACGACCAGCCACACUGGAACUGAGAUACGGUCCAGACUCCGUACGGGAGCA
Molecule: ribosomal RNA, 238 nt
Filed under: uncultured bacterium
Lineage: Bacteria
Description: partial 16S ribosomal RNA
Rfam family: Bacterial small subunit ribosomal RNA
Source: RNAcentral